This 492-nucleotide ribosomal RNA is filed under the name uncultured bacterium. Its description in RNAcentral is "partial 16S ribosomal RNA". It matches the Rfam family "Bacterial small subunit ribosomal RNA", at positions 29 to 507 of the family's 1533-position model. The record is from RNAcentral.
AGUGAACGCUGGCGGUAGGCCUAACACAUGCAAGUCGAACGGCAGCACAGUAAGAGCUUGCUCUUACGGGUGGCGAGUGGCGGACGGGUGAGGAAUACAUCGGAAUCUACUUUUUCGUGGGGGAUAACGUAGGGAAACUUACGCUAAUACCGCAUACGACCUACGGGUGAAAGCAGGGGAUCUUCGGACCUUGCGCGAUUGAAUGAGCCGAUGUCGGAUUAGCUAGUUGGCGGGGUAAAGGCCCACCAAGGCGACGAUCCGUAGCUGGUCUGAGAGGAUGAUCAGCCACAAUGGAACUGAGAAAAGGUCCAGAAUCCUAAGGGAGGCAGCAGUGGGGAAUAUUGGACAAUGGGCGCAAGCCUGAUCCAGCCAUACCGCGUGGGUGAAGAAGGCCUUCGGGUUGUAAAGCCCUUUUGUUGGGAAAGAAAAGCAGCAGGUUAAUACCCCGCUGUUCUGACGGUACCCAAAGAAUAAGCACCGGCUAACUUCGUG